UGGGGGAUAUUGCACAAUGGGCGAAAGCCUGAUGCAGCGACGCCGCGUGGGGGAUGAAUGCUUUCGGGUUGUAAACCUCUUUCGCUAUCGAACAAGGCCCGCUUAGGGUGGGUUGAGGGUAGGUGGAGAAGAAGCGCCGGCUAACUACGUGCCAGCAGCCGCGGUAAUACGUAGGGUGCGAGCGUUGUCCGGACUUAUUGGGCGUACAGGGCUUGUAGGCGGCUUGUUGCGCCUGCUGUGAAAACGCGGGGCUUAACUUCGCGCGUGCAGUGGGUACGGGCAGGCUUGAGUGUGGUAGGGGUGACUGGAAUUCCAGGUGUAGCGGUGGAAUGCGAAGAUAUCUGGAGGAACACCGAUGGCGAAGGCAGGUCACUGGGCCAUGACUGACGCGGCGGAGCGAAAGCAUGGGUAGCGAACAGG
RNAcentral lists this ribosomal RNA (420 nucleotides) under bacterium. RNAcentral describes it as "partial 16S ribosomal RNA". It matches the Rfam family "Bacterial small subunit ribosomal RNA", at positions 355 to 776 of the family's 1533-position model. The record is from RNAcentral.